UACGUAGGGUGCAAGCGUUGUCCGGAAUUAUUGGGCGUAAAGAGCUCGUAGGCGGUUUGUCGCGUCUGCUGUGAAAACUCGGGGCUUAACUCCGGGCCUGCAGUGGGUACGGGCAGACUAGAGUGCGGUAGGGGAGACUGGAAUUCCUGGUGUAGCGGUGAAAUGCGUAGAUAUCUGGAGGAACACCGGUGGCGAAGGCGGCAUCCUGGACCGACACUGACGCUGAGGAGCGAAAGCCAGGGGAGCAAACGGG
RNAcentral lists this ribosomal RNA (253 nucleotides) under uncultured bacterium. RNAcentral describes it as "partial 16S ribosomal RNA". It matches the Rfam family "Bacterial small subunit ribosomal RNA", at positions 524 to 776 of the family's 1533-position model. The record is from RNAcentral.